Phyllosticta citriasiana is the source of this 97-nucleotide non-coding RNA. The record is from the annotation of a GenBank genome assembly. Lineage: Eukaryota; Fungi; Ascomycota; Dothideomycetes; Botryosphaeriales; Phyllostictaceae.
GCGGGGUUGGUGUAGUUGGUUAUCACGUCAGUCUAACAGAGAAUUUCUGAAGUUUGAAGAGCACUGAAGGUCGCGAGUUCAAGUCUCGCAUCCCGUA